AGUGAACGCUGGCGGUAGGCCUAACACAUGCAAGUCGAACGACAGCACAGUAAGAGCUUGCUCUUACGGGUGGCGAGUGGCGGACGGGUGAGGAAUACAUCGGAAUCUACUUUUUCGUGGGGGAUAACGUAGGGAAACUUACGCUAAUACAGCAUACGACCUACGGGUGAAAGCAGGAGAUCUUCGGACCUUGCGCGAUUGAAUGAGCCGAUGUCGGAUUGGCUAGUUGGCGGGGUAAAGGCCCACCAAGGCGACGAUCCGUAGCUGGUCUGAGAGGAUGAUCAGCCACACUGGAACUGAGACACGGUCCAGACUCCUACGGGAGGCAGCAGUGGGGAAUAUUGGACAAUGGGCGCAAGCCUGAUCCAGCAAUACCGCGUGGGUGAAGAAGGCCUUCGGGUUGUAAAGCCCUUUUGUUAGGAAAGAAAAGCAGCAGGUUAAUACCCCGCUGUUCUGACGGUACCCAAAGAAUAAGCACCGGCUAACUUCGUG
This 492-nucleotide ribosomal RNA is filed under the name uncultured bacterium. RNAcentral describes it as "partial 16S ribosomal RNA". It matches the Rfam family "Bacterial small subunit ribosomal RNA", at positions 29 to 507 of the family's 1533-position model. The record is from RNAcentral.